GGAUUCUCCUGCCUCAGUGUCCUGAGUAGCUGGGAAUACAGCUAGCAGAAGGCCAAGCCAGACCAGCCCAGGACUGCAGGUGUUUUAAGCAUUUUACUUCACUUGCCCACUUGGGCUGCCAUUGCUCCUGCCCUUGGCACUCGCUCUUUCCUGGCUAGACAAGUUGGGAUUAGUCCUGGAAGAACAGCCAAGGACUGGGGUCUGCUUUGCUCUGCCCCACUCCCUCUCUCUCCUGGGAAGAGGACCAUGAUGUGGGGGCUCAGGACGACGCAAACCCACAGGGCCCCUGAGGAGGCACGGGGCAGGCUCAAUAUUCCUGCCAACAGUGGCAGCAACACACACUUCCGCAGUGCCCACUGUGUGCCACCUGAUGAUCUGCUAACCCCUCACCUCGACCCUCGGAAGUUGCAACUCGCAGCCUUUGCACCUUACAGACAAGCAAACUGAGGCACAGAGACAUAACACGGCUUGCACAGGGUCACACCGCUGAAAACACAUGUUGGCCGGUGCGGUGGCUCAUGCCUGUAA
RNAcentral lists this long non-coding RNA (528 nucleotides) under Homo sapiens (human). Its description in RNAcentral is "HSALNT0396214". The record is from RNAcentral. Lineage: Eukaryota; Metazoa; Chordata; Mammalia; Primates; Hominidae.